UAUCCUGGCUCAGGAUGAACGCUAGCGGCAGGCUUAACACAUGCAAGUCGAGGGGUAUAGUUCUUCGGAACUAGAGACCGGCGCACGGGUGCGUAACGCGUAUGCAAUCUACCUUUCACAGAGGGAUAGCCCAGAGAAAUUUGGAUUAAUACCUCAUAGUAUAUAGACCUGGCAUCAGGAUUAUAUUAAAGUCACAACGGUGAAAGAUGAGCAUGCGUCCCAUUAGCUUGUUGGUAAGGUAACGGCUUACCAAGGCAACGAUGGGUAGGGGUCCUGAGAGGGAGAUCCCCCACACUGGUACUGAGACACGGACCAGACUCCUACGGGAGGCAGCAGUGAGGAAUAUUGGACAAUGGGCGCAAGCCUGAUCCAGCCAUGCCGCGUGCAGGAUGACGGUCCUAUGGAUUGUAAACUGCUUUAUACGAGAAGAAACACUCCUUCGUGAAGGAGCUUGACGGUAUCGUAAGAAUAAGGAUCGGCUAACUCCGUG
RNAcentral lists this ribosomal RNA (490 nucleotides) under uncultured Flavobacterium sp. RNAcentral describes it as "bacterial SSU rRNA". It matches the Rfam family "Bacterial small subunit ribosomal RNA", at positions 15 to 507 of the family's 1533-position model. The record is from RNAcentral. Lineage: Bacteria; Pseudomonadati; Bacteroidota; Flavobacteriia; Flavobacteriales; Flavobacteriaceae.